RNAcentral lists this ribosomal RNA (305 nucleotides) under uncultured bacterium. Its description in RNAcentral is "bacterial SSU rRNA". It matches the Rfam family "Bacterial small subunit ribosomal RNA", at positions 335 to 656 of the family's 1533-position model. The record is from RNAcentral.
CUACCUACGGGGGGCAGCAGUAGGGAAUUUUCGUCAAUGGGGGAAACCCUGAUGCAGCAACGCCGCGUGAAGGAAGACGGUUUUCGGAUUGUAAACUUCUGUUCUUAGUGAAGAAGAAUGACGGUAGCUAAGGAGCAAGCCACGGCUAACUACGUGCCAGCAGCCGCGGUAAUACGUAGGUGGCAAGCGUUGUCCGGAAUUACUGGGGGUAAAGGGAGCGCAGGCGGGAAGCCAAGUCAGCUGUGAAAACUACGGGCUUAACUUGGAGACUGCAGUUGAAACUGGUUUUCUUGAGUGAAGUAGAG